Molecule: long non-coding RNA, 4650 nt
Filed under: Theobroma cacao (cacao)
Lineage: Eukaryota; Viridiplantae; Streptophyta; Magnoliopsida; Malvales; Malvaceae
Description: long non-coding RNA (TCAC_LNC003139)
Source: RNAcentral
AGUAUCUCCUGAGGUAAGAUUUGAGUGAACCUCACAUUCGGGCCACCACGUGAGAGUGAGACUCAGCCAACGCCAAGGAACGGCUGUGUGUCAGAUGCGAAAUCAUGUUUAUGGGUAUGGGACAUUUAACAGCCUUGGCGGUCUCAGUGGGAUACCUUGACGAAGGUACCCACGAGAAUGAUUCUGGCAGGGGUCAAGUUUAAGAAACUCAUAAGUCAGGGAAAUUUUGAUGAAAAGAAAUUGUUUGGUAUAGAUUGAAACGAAUUUUGCGUUAUGAACAUUAUUGAGAUAUAACGUUUUUAUAUUGUCUCCAUCUACUCAACUUUAGAUGCUUUUGAUGGUAAUUAUUUACUCACUAGGAUUAUGUAAUCUCAUCUCUCUUCCUAUCCAUUUUUCAAGCUCAGGACAGUUUGUUGAUAGUUGAUUAAGACGAGAAUUAAUCUUGGAGUUGCAUCCUAGAAAGUAAGGGUUCGUAGCCCUACACCUUCUUGGACAGUUGGGGGCCCAUGUAUCACUAUAAAAGUAAUUUUAUGCUUCAGUUAUCUAAUUUAAAGUAUGUAUGAACAUAUUUAGCUUUUACACCAUGUUUUUGACGGGUUUCAAUAUUUUUGAAAAAAAAAUAUGACUAAAAUAGCCCUGUCAGAUAGAAAUAAAUUUUCAUUGUUUUUUGAUGGGAAAAUCGUCCAUAUCGUUUCAAAACACGAUUUUAGUUACUGUCGAUCACAAGGGAGGUAAGAAAACUGAUACGAAAGGCUAGCGAGGUUUCGGUCAGCAUUUAGGGUAAAGAAUGUCUGAUGAGACUUCGCGACAGUUGUCACAGGCUUGAUGGGAGUUUCGGGUCGUGACAACCUGCUACUGCAGAUUCCUCUGAAACACCAAGGGCUUCACUAGCACAGCAAGGUGUUGGAAGUUCAGGCUUGCAAGCAAAAGGGUCUGAUCCUCAUGGUGUAAGUUAUGGUGUUCCAGUUGAAGGUCAUGAGCCAAAAGAGGAACAGCCAAGAAAAUCACGUUUGAAGGGUAAAGAAAUUUUGAUGAAAAGAAAUUGUUUGGUAUAGAUUGAAACGAAUUUUGCGUUAUGAACAUUAUUGAGAUAUAACAUUUUUAUAUUGUCUCCAUCUACUCAGCUUUAGAUGCUUUUGAUGGUAAUUAUUUACUCACUAGGAUUAUGUAAUCUCAUCCCUCUUCCUAUCCAUUUUUCAAGCUCAGGACAGUUUGUUGAUAGUUGAUUAAGACGAGAAUUAAUCUUGGAGUUGCAUCCUAAAAAGUAAGGGUUCAUAGCCCUACACCUUCUUGGACAGUUAGGGGCCCACGUAUCACUAUGAAAGUAAUUUUAUACUUCAGUUAUCUAAUUUAAAGUAUGUAUGAACAUAUUUAGCUUUUACACCAUGUUUUUGACUGGUUUCAAUAUUUUCGAAAAAAAAAUAUGACUAAAAUAGCCCUGUCAGAUAGAAAUAAAUUUUCAUUGUUUUUGGAUGGGAAAAUCGUCCAUAUCGUUUCAAAACACGAUUUUAGUUACUGUCGAUCACAAGGGAGGUAAGAAAACUGAUACGAAAGGCUAGCGAGGUUUCGGUCAGCAUUUAGGGUAAAGAAUGUCUGAUGAGACUUCGCGACAGUUGUCACAGGCUCGAUGGGAGUUUCGGGUCAUGACAACCUGCUACUGCAGAUUCCUCUGAAACACCAAGUGCUUCACUAGCACAGCAAGGUGCUGGAAGUUCAGGCUUGCAAGCAAAAGGGUCUGAUCCUCAUGGUGUAAGUUAUGGUGUUCCAGUUGAAGGUCAUGAGCCAAAAGAGGAACAGCCAAGAAAUUCACCUUCACCUGAGUUACAAGAUAAGGAUGAAUCUGAUCAAGGUAUCGAAGUGAUUACAUCUAAGCAAGAAAAUACCCCCACUAAACGUAAGCCUCAACCAGAACCUCAACCAUCUCCUCCACACAUUGAAAAGGUUUCACUCAUGAGUUUGUUCCAACAAAUGGUUCAAGAGGAACAAGCUGAAAUACCCCAUACUUUGAUAUGGUGAUUAAUAAAGUUGAUCGAAUGCAAAUUGAGGUCAAUUAAAAUGUUUAAAAGUGAUAAAAGGCGAAAGGAGUAAUUUAGGAUAAAAUAUUCCGAAAGUGAGAAAAUGACAAUAAAAUAAUAGUAAGUUUAUCGGAGGAGAAUUUGCGAGAUAAAAGGCGAUUCGGAAGUCAAGUGAGGCAUAACAAGGUAUUUUGGGUAUCAAGGAGACAAGAUAAAAUUUUUAGAAUAAAAUAAUAUUUUAUUAAUAAAAUAAUAUUAAAAUAUUAAUAUUUAGUCAGAUGUCGAAAUCAGUCAUCAAGAAGGAUCAUAUGGUUGAUCCAAGUGGGGGAGAAGAUGACAAGCCCGACUAUAAAAAUAUUUGUGAUGACAUACAUGUGAUGGAUAGCAUGUUUGCAUGCUAGGAGAGUCUCAAAGAAUUUACAAAAGUCGGUAUUGUACUUAGAGGUACAACAAAGUUGAUUUAAGCCUCGAACUAGAUCAAAUAGAGAAUUUACGAUGAAAUUAAGAAUUUUAAAGUCCCAAAAUGGUUUAAUAUGGUAAUUCGGAGUUUGAAGAUCAAUUUGGAGACAAACCAAAAUUUUCGCUAUUUAGGGGCAAAAUGGUCAUUUGCCACUUGGGACAAAAUGGGAAUUUUAGAAAAGAUUCUUUUGGCCCCAUUUGACUUAUUGGAGUAUAAUUUGACUUAUUGGAGUAAGAUUUGAGGUUUAGAAGUGAAAAAAUAUAAUUUCGGUAUAAUUUAGAGCAUAGGGGUAAAAUGAUAAUUUUACCACCCUAGGGGCAAAAUAGUAAUUUUCCACCACCAGGACAUUUUUUCAGCACAUGGUCAUCUCUUAUCCUCAUUUUGACCAUUGACUAAUUGUGUGGUAGAGAUAAAAAGGAUUAAAAUUUUAAAGUUUUAAAAACGGGCCAAUGACAUGAUGCCACGUGUCAUGUCUUUAUUAAUUUAUUAAUUUCCUUUUUAAAAGGCACAAAAAUCAGCUCAUCUUCCACCCCAUGGCCGACCAAACAAGCAAGAAGAGAGAGAAAACAAAAACAAAACCCUAGAGAGAGAAAAUCAAAGAAAAAGUGUGAAUUUUCAAGGAAAUUAAGUGAAAAAGGUAUGAUUUUUCAAGCUUAGCUUAAGAUUUAUCAUUUCCAUGCAUUUUCUAUCAUUUUCCAUAGUUGAAUCAUGUGAUUUGAGGAUGAAUUCAAUUCUGAAAAAAUGGGUUAGGAGAGAGAAACUUGUUAGAUUAAUUUGAUUUUAAGUUAUGUUAGUGUUUUAAGUUAGUUUAGCAUAUUUAGGAACAAAACAACAAGAAAAGAAUUUAUUUUCCUCUAUUACCAUUAUUGGCCGAAUUUUCUAGGGGAAUAUUGGUUGAUGAUCUUGAUGUUUAUUUGAGGAAUUAUGAUGUAUAAUGAUGAAUUAUGAGUCUAGAAAAAUAAUGGGAAUUUUCGGAGCAAAAAUAAGAAUUUUUACCCAUUAGAGGUAUUUUCGUAAUUUGUUAUCGAGACUGAUAAUUUGCACCACACUGAGGAACAUUAAGUCAAUUUGGGUGCAAUUGAGGUAUAGAAAUUGAAAAAAAUUAAUUUGAGAUUAAAUUGGACGCGUUAGUAAUUUAAUUGGGUAAUAAGCCGAAUUAGGUCAGCACCGCAUUUAAGCGGUAGUCGGAUAAGUUGAAUGUCAUAUCAUGCAUAUAUACCGAGCCUGAAUUGAUUUUAUAAUGGUUAAGUAUUGAUGUGGUGAAUUAUGUAUUGUACAUUGUGGAUAGGUAGUGAGCAAAUUACACUGGUAAAAGUACAGAAAUUGUGCUUGAAGACUGGGAUUAAGAGUACAUCGACUCCUAGAACUGUGAGUGGACAAUUUAUCGUCUUAAAUAUCUAGAGUAAUUAUACUUAUUUGAUGUUUUUAUUGAAUGGUGAGCUUAAAUUAUAAAAUAUUAUGUUUUUUAAUUAAAAUAUUUUUUAAUAAAAAUGAGAUUUAUACUGGUUUUGAAAUCAAAUAUUAUUUUGAGAAAAUUGAGUAUAUGGAGACUGUGUUGAAAUUUAUGAUUUUAUAUGUUAUUGAAAUUGUGGCUUAUGACACUAUAGUAGCAUGAUGGCUAAAUUUUUGGGGUUGGCAUGAAAUAUAUGAAUAGAUUUGGAUUGGUCUCGGUAGACUGGAUUAAAUUUUAUUCACCAUAUUAAGCUACUGGAAAUUUUAUGGGUUUGGUGGUAUAUUAAACGGUCACUGCAGUGGUGGGGGUUUCCGUGGACUACCUAUGAGAGGGGCACGGUAACUCAAUUAUAUAUUUACCUCCAGGGGAGAUGUUGGGUGAAGUAUCUCUUGAGGUAUGAUUUGAGUGCACCUCACGUUCGGGACACCAUGUGAGAGUGAGACUCAGCCAACACCAAGGAAUGGCUAUGUGUUAGAUGUGAAAACAUGUUUAUGGGUAUGGGUCAUUGAACAGCCUUGGCGGUCUCAGUGGGAUACCUUGACGAAGGUACCCGCGAGAAUGAUUCUGGCAAGGGCCAAGUUUAAGAAAUUCAUAAGCCGAGAAAUUUUGAUAAAAAGAAAUUGUUUGGUAUAGAUUGAAACGAAUUUUGUGUUAUGAACAUUAUUGAGAUAUAACGUUUUUAUAUUGUCUCCAUCUACUCGACUUUAGAUGUUUUUGAUGGU